Molecule: long non-coding RNA, 663 nt
Organism: Eptesicus fuscus (big brown bat)
Lineage: Eukaryota; Metazoa; Chordata; Mammalia; Chiroptera; Vespertilionidae
Exons: 3
Source: RefSeq, a predicted model, not a curated record
UCGGUGGACCUUCGGCGCCGGGGCCGAACCCUCGCCGUCCCACGUCCUUGGGGACCAACGGGGCGGGCGCGUCUGGACGGCGAGAAGCCCGGCCGGGGCCUCUCCAGCCCCGGGAUCCUGACGGGAGCGACGGAGGGAGGAGCGGCGUCCUGCGGGCUGUGCGGCAAAGUCACCUGCCUCUUUUUGAAUUCCUUGCACAAGUUCCCAUCAACAACUUAGUCCUUUUUUAAGGCUAGGCCGGUGUCUGAACUUAGUAGGCAUGCAAUAAAUGUUAAAGGAACUACUGAAUAAAGAAGUUUUUCACUGGUCAGUACAAUGACGGUUGAUGGCAUGAUCAUCCAACUUGCCUCAAAGAAUUCAUCGGUGUGCUGUUAUCAAGCAGAAGUUUUCAAAUAUGAGUUCUCUAACUCAAGGAAAGUUGCUGGAUCCAGGCAGAAAGACGUCUGGGAACUCCCUAAGUGUGCAUGAUUUGUUUUCUGAGAAAGUUGUUUCAGCAUUUUUGUUUGUUUUUGGAAUACUUCUCUCUACAUUAUCUUCCAGACUCUAAACUACUAGAUAGUUCCUAAGUUCCUUCAGUUCUGUCCCAUGUCAGAGUUCUUGGUCCGCUUCCCACCCUCUGGCUCCAUGGAUUAAAAAUAAAUAACAAUAAAGUAACAAAAAUCA